RNAcentral lists this unclassified non-coding RNA (206 nucleotides) under rhizosphere metagenome. RNAcentral's name for it is "partial ribosomal RNA internal transcribed spacer region". The record is from RNAcentral.
GUAGGUGAACCUGCGGAAGGAUCAUUAUCGUGGGGCUUCGGCCCUAUCGAGAUAGAACCCUUGCCUUUAUAGUACCGUUCGUUGCCUCGGCAAUGCGUAAUAGCACAGCCAAUGGGGCCAAACAAAAAACCAAACCUCUUUAACAAGCAGUUAGUCUGAAAAACAAACAAAAGUUAAAACUUUCAACAACGGAUCUCUUGGUUCUG